This 484-nucleotide ribosomal RNA is filed under the name uncultured bacterium. Its description in RNAcentral is "partial 16S ribosomal RNA". It matches the Rfam family "Bacterial small subunit ribosomal RNA", at positions 30 to 507 of the family's 1533-position model. The record is from RNAcentral.
AUUGAACGCUGGCGGCAGGCCUAACACAUGCAAGUCGAGCGGAUGAAGGGAGCUUGCUCCUGGCUUCAGCGGCGGACGGGUGAGUAAUUCCUAGGAAUCUGCCUGGUAGUGGGGGAUAACGUCCGGACACGGGCGCUAAUACCGCAUACGUCCUGAGGGAGAAAGUGGGGGAUCUUCGGACAUCACGCUAUCAGAUGAGCCUAGGUCGGAUUAGCUAGUUGGUGGGGUAAAGGCCUACCAAGGCGACGAUCCGUAACUGGUCUGAGAGGAUGACCAGUCACACUGGAACUGAGACACGGUCCAGACUCCUACGGGAGGCAGCAGUGGGGAAUAUUGGACAAUGGGCGAAAGCCUGAUCCAGCCAUGCCGCGUGUGUGAAGAAGGUCUUCGGAUUGUAAAGCACUUUAAGUUGGGAGGAAGGGCAGUAAGUUAAUACCUUGCUGUUUUGACGUUACCAACAGAAUAAGCACCGGCUAACUUCGUG